AUUCCGGUUGAUCCUGCCGGAGACUACCGCUAUCGGAGUCCGAUUUAGCCAUGCUAGUCCACCGAACCUUUGGUUCGGGGCGGAAAGCUGAGUAACACGUGGCCAACCUACCCUGUGGACAGGAAUAACCUCGGGAAACUGAGGAUAAUGCCUGAUAGCAGAACCAUGCUGGAAACGCAGGUUCUGUGAAAUGACACGUCGCCACAGGAUGGGGCCGCGGCUGAUUAGGUUGUCGGUGAGGUAACGGCUCACCGAGCCCGUAAUCAGUAGCAGCCGUGGGAGCGGUAGCUGCCAGUCGUGUUCUGAGACAAGAACACGGGCCCUACGGGGCGCAGCAGGCACGAAACCUUUACAAUGCACGCGAGUGCGAUAGGGGGACUCCGAGUGCGUUCUUCCCACAAGGAAGGACGCUUUUCUGCACUGUAAGGAGGUGCAGGAACAAGGGGUGGGCAAGACUGCUGCCAGCCGCCGCGGUAAUAGCAGCACCCCGAGUGGUAGUCGUUAUUAUUGGGCUUAAAGUGUACGUAGCCGGACCUGUAAGUCUGUUGUGAAAUCCACGCGCUUAACGCAGUGGAAGCGCAACGGAUACUACAGGUCUAGGGACCGGAGGACGCCGAGGCUAUUCCAUGGGUAGGAGUGAAAUCCUAAGAUCCAUGGAGGAGCACCAGUGGCGAAAGCGCUCGGCGACUACGGAUCCGACGGUGAGGUACGAAAGCCAGGGGAGCAAAACGGAUUAGAUACCCGUGUAGUCCUGGCCGUCAACAUUGUCCGCUCGACAUGGCCCAACCUUUGUGGUUUGGCUGUGUCCAAGUGAAAACGUUAAGCGGACCGCCUGGGUAGUACGGUCGCAAGGCUGAAACUUAAAGGAAUUGACGGGGGAGCACCACAACCGGUGGGGGCUGCGGUUUAAUUAGAUCAAACGCAGCGCACCCUACCAGAGCCGACAGCAGAAUGACGGUCAGCUUGAAGAGCUUACCCGACGCGCUGAGAGGAGCUGCAUGGCCGCCGUCAGCUCGUGCCGCGAGGUGUCCGGUUAAGUCCGGUAACGAGCGAGACCCGUACCCUAUGUUGCCACGGAGACACUAGCUGUCUUCGGCACUCGUGGGGGACCGCUGGCGAUAAGCCAGAGGAAGGAGCGGGCCACGGUAGGUCAGUAUGGCCCGAAUGCUCUGGGAUACACGCGGCCCACAAUGGCCGGUACAAACAGAAGCCACCCCGAGAGGGGAAGCUAAUCUGCCAAAACCGGUCCCAGUCCGGAUCGAGGCCUGCAACUCGGCCUCGUGAAGUCGAAAUCGGUAGUAGUCGCUGGUCAUCAUCUAGCGGCGAAUAAGUCCCUGCUCCUUGUACACACCGCCUGUCAAGUCACCCAAGUCAGGUUCAGACGAGCCUCCCACCUAGUGGGAAGCAAGUCUGAGCUUGGCAAGGGGGGCUAAGUCAUAGCAAACAGUUGUGACCCCGAACCGGAAGGUUUGAGGAAAAAUCUGGCU
This is a non-coding RNA of Candidatus Nanosalinarum sp. J07AB56, 1487 nucleotides long. The record is from Rfam. Lineage: Archaea; Methanobacteriati; Methanobacteriota; Candidatus Nanohaloarchaea.